AGAGUUUGAUCCUGGCUCAGGACGAACGCUGGCGGCGUGCCUAAUACAUGCAAGUAGAACGCUGAAGAGAGGAGCUUGCUCUUCUUGGAUGAGUUGCGAACGGGUGAGUAACGCGUAGGUAACCUGCCUUGUAGCGGGGGAUAACUAUUGGAAACGAUAGCUAAUACCGCAUAACAAUGGAUGACACAUGUCAUUUAUUUGAAAGGGGCAAUUGUUCCACUACAAGAUGGACCUGCGUUGUAUUAGCUAGUAGGUGAGGUAAUGGCUCACCUAGGCGACGAUACAUAGCCGACCUGAGAGGGUGAUCGGCCACACUGGGACUGAGACACGGCCCAGACUCCUACGGGAGGCAGCAGUAGGGAAUCUUCGGCAAUGGGGGCAACCCUGACCGAGCAACGCCGCGUGAGUGAAGAAGGUUUUCGGAUCGUAAAGCUCUGUUGUAAGUCAAGAACGGGUGUGAGAGUGGAAAGUUCACACUGUGACGGUAGCUUACCAGAAAGGGACGGCUAACUACGUGCCAGCAGCCGCGGUAAUACGUAGGUCCCGAGUGUUGUCCGGAUUUAUUGGGCGUAAAGCGAGCGCAGGCGGUUUGAUAAGUCUGAAGUUAAAGGCUGUGGCUCAACCAUAGUUCGCUUUGGAAACUGUCAAACUUGAGUGCAGAAGGGGAGAGUGGAAUUCCAUGUGUAGCGGUGAAAUGCGUAGAUAUAUGGAGGAACACCGGUGGCGAAAGCGGCUCUCUGGUCUGUAACUGACGCUGAGGCUCGAAAGCGUGGGGAGCGAACAGGAUUAGAUACCCUGGUAGUCCACGCCGUAAACGAUGAGUGCUAGGUGUUGGAUCCUUUCCGGGAUUCAGUGCCGCAGCUAACGCAUUAAGCACUCCGCCUGGGGAGUACGACCGCAAGGUUGAAACUCAAAGGAAUCGACGGGGGCCCGCACAAGCGGUGGAGCAUGUGGUUUAAUUCGAAGCAACGCGAAGAACCUUACCAGGUCUUGACAUCCCGAUGCUAUUUCUAGAGAUAGAAAGUUACUUCGGUACAUCGGUGACAGGUGGUGCAUGGUUGUCGUCAGCUCGUGUCGUGAGAUGUUGGGUUAAGUCCCGCAACGAGCGCAACCCCUAUUGUUAGUUGCCAUCAUUCAGUUGGGCACUCUAGCGAGACUGCCGGUAAUAAACCGGAGGAAGGUGGGGAUGACGUCAAAUCAUCAUGCCCCUUAUGACCUGGGCUACACACGUGCUACAAUGGUUGGUACAACGAGUUGCGAGUCGGUGACGGCGAGCUAAUCUCUUAAAGCCAAUCUCAGUUCGGAUUGUAGGCUGCAACUCGCCUACAUGAAGUCGGAAUCGCUAGUAAUCGCGGAUCAGCACGCCGCGGUGAAUACGUUCCCGGGCCUUGUACACACCGCCCGUCACACCACGAGAGUUUGUAACACCCGAAGUCGGUGAGGUAACCUUUUGGAGCCAGCAGCCUAAGGUGGGACAGAUGAUUGGGGUGAAGUCGUAACAAGGUA
Molecule: ribosomal RNA, 1506 nt
Filed under: metagenome
Description: bacterial SSU rRNA
Rfam family: Bacterial small subunit ribosomal RNA
Source: RNAcentral